CCUCCUUUCUAAGGACGCCGGAGAUGCUUUAUGCUUAUCUCCGGAUAGUCAAAGUCGAAACAGACUCUCUUCUCUUCUCUCCCUUUUCUCCUGUAAAUACUAAGUUAUGAAUUUAGAGCAACGAAGGAAUUAAAUUCGUUACUGUGGACUCCUAAUUUCAAGAGGGGCCUGUAGCUCAGCUUGGUUAGAGCGCAUCCCUGAUAAGGAUGAGGCCGGUGGUUCAAGUCCACCCAGGCCCACCAGUUUCAGUGGGGGAUUAGCUCAGCUGGUAGAGCGCCUGAUUUGCAUUCAGGAGGCCAGCGGUUCGAUCCCGCCAUCCUCCACCAAAAUUUGAGACAUUUAGCUUUUUUAAAUUGUAAAUAUUAUUAUCAAUAUCUAUAUCCGAUUGUUUUCAGAUUUUUUUGGAAACAAUCAAAACAAAAAUUUAAUUUAUUACAGAAAAGUUUUUUCUGUGCAUAAAUCAAGCGUUUAAGGGCGAUUGGCGGAUGCCUGGGCACUGUAAGACGAUAAAGGACGUGGUAUACUGCGAUANGUUUCGGGGAGCC
This 545-nucleotide unclassified non-coding RNA is filed under the name uncultured Pelagibacterales bacterium. RNAcentral describes it as "partial 16S-23S ribosomal RNA intergenic spacer". The stretch from base 165 to 239 matches the Rfam family "tRNA". The record is from RNAcentral. Lineage: Bacteria; Pseudomonadati; Pseudomonadota; Alphaproteobacteria; Candidatus Pelagibacterales.